Octodon degus (degu) is the source of this 104-nucleotide small nuclear RNA. The record is from Ensembl. NCBI's taxonomy places the organism in Eukaryota, Metazoa, Chordata, Mammalia, Rodentia, Octodontidae.
GUGCUCUCUUCGGUAGCACAUAUACUAAAAUUGGAACAAUACAGAGAAGAUUAGCAUGGGCCCUGCGUAAAUUAAUUCUCCAUAUUCAUAUUCCACAGGUCAUU